Molecule: ribosomal RNA, 762 nt
Filed under: uncultured bacterium
Lineage: Bacteria
Description: bacterial SSU rRNA
Rfam family: Bacterial small subunit ribosomal RNA
Source: RNAcentral
GGCGGCAGGCCUAACACAUGCAAGUCGAGCGGUAGAGAGAAGCUUGCUUCUCUUGAGAGCGGCGGACGGGUGAGUAAUGCCUAGGAAUCUGCCUGGUAGUGGGGGAUAACGUUCGGAAACGGACGCUAAUACCGCAUACGUCCUACGGGAGAAAGCAGGGGACCUUCGGGCCUUGCGCUAUCAGAUGAGCCUAGGUCGGAUUAGCUAGUUGGUGAGGUAAUGGCUCACCAAGGCGACGAUCCGUAACUGGUCUGAGAGGAUGAUCAGUCACACUGGAACUGAGACACGGUCCAGACUCCUACGGGAGGCAGCAGUGGGGAAUAUUGGACAAUGGGCGAAAGCCUGAUCCAGCCAUGCCGCGUGUGUGAAGAAGGUCUUCGGAUUGUAAAGCACUUUAAGUUGGGAGGAAGGGUUGUAGAUUAAUACUCUGCAAUUUUGACGUUACCGACAGAAUAAGCACCGGCUAACUCUGUGCCAGCAGCCGCGGUAAUACAGAGGGUGCAAGCGUUAAUCGGAAUUACUGGGCGUAAAGCGCGCGUAGGUGGUUUGUUAAGUUGGAUGUGAAAUCCCCGGGCUCAACCUGGGAACUGCAUUCAAAACUGACUGACUAGAGUAUGGUAGAGGGUGGUGGAAUUUCCUGUGUAGCGGUGAAAUGCGUAGAUAUAGGAAGGAACACCAGCGGCGAAGGCGACCACCUGGACUAAUACUGACACUGAGGUGCGAAAGCGUGGGGAGCAAACAGGAUUAGAUACCCUGGUAGUC